This 1046-nucleotide long non-coding RNA is filed under the name Camelus dromedarius (Arabian camel). Its description in RNAcentral is "lncRNA (ENSCDRG00005019037.1)". Lineage: Eukaryota; Metazoa; Chordata; Mammalia; Artiodactyla; Camelidae. The record is from RNAcentral.
GCCCCGCAGGGCACCUGGACACAGUGGCCUCAGUUUUUUCAUCUCUCCGGAGCUGCCUCCAGCUCUGAAAUGCCUUGAUGACGUGGUGGCAGUGAAACCAGGGGAGGGGGUGAGAUCGCUGAGGAAGACAUGUGAAAGGACUGGCGAUGGAGUCUCAGGAAAGCUGGCAUUUACCGAGAAGCAGGGGAACCGACGGAGACCAAACGGAAGCGGCGAUGGCUGCAAAGUACGCUCUCCACCAGCUGGUCAGGAAGACUGACAAGGACAGAGAAGUCCCUUCAGACCGUGUUUUCCUCAAACAUCUUAAUGUUGGAUCAUCUUCUACUCAUGUACAAGGGCUUCAUUCUCCAGAAGCUGUCAUUUUGCAUAAACCUCUCACCAGGCACAUCCAUUCUCACAGCCAAAAUCUCCAUAUCAAACACUGCAUCCACCAUGGAACUGACAGCCCUCCCUACCCUGCAUGGGGCCUCAGAGAGGCUGGCAUGACAGACACCCCGUGCAGGGGCGACGCAGGACAGACUGAGUGGGUGACCCGGGAAUGCCGCCAGUCCGUCCUUACCACCUUCCUCAGGCCUCCUGGGGGGAUCCUUGCUCCUUCCUGACGUCUCUGAUGGGUGUGCGUGGCCUGCAUGCCCUCAGUGGGGGGCACACAGGAGCCUGGGAGUGGAGGGGAAGACCUAUGUCCCUCCAAAAAAAUACAUUGACAUCCUAACCAGCAGUACCUCAGAAUGUAAUCUUAUUUGGAAAUAGAGUCUUUGCAGGGUAAUUAGGUUAAAAUCAGGUCAUUAGUGUGGUCCUGAUCCGAUAGGACUGGCAUUCUUACAAAAAGGGAUAGCUGGGAGACAACACGCUCAGAGGGAAGACCCGCCGUGUGCCUGAAGGCAUGCGUCUGCCCAAGAAGGGCCACCAAGGACAGUUAGCAACUACGUGAAACCAGGACGGAGGAGCAAACCACGUGAAACUGGGACAGGACAGACCCUCGGAAGGAGCCAACCUCGCCUGCGCCCUCCUCACCCCCAGACUGCGAAGGAUCGAUUUUGGCUGCC